ACUAGGUAGGUAGUGAACAUUGCCCAAAAAUCCCUAAGAACUGCAAUGCACGAAUAUGAAGAAAAGUAAUGUAGUGUCGAGUGGGAAUGGAAUUUGUACUCCAAGUGCAGAUUCAAUCCAUUUUGAGUCGAUUUCCGAAUGAUUUCAAACUUUCAGAGGAGCGUGCCCUAACGCCACUCAAGCGCAGAUUCGAUCCAUUUUUACGAAUAACUGUCCAGAUUCAAUUCACAACGUGCCCUAACGGCACUCAAAUUACAAUGGCCGUUGGAAAAAGCAGAUCGUGUUACCGUUGGAAAAAGCAGGAUUUCAAUUCUUUUAAGAGGAGAUAUACUAGAGAAGCACGGCAGAUUAUAUUGUUCUUUCAGUUUUUUUGGUUUUCUUUUUAAGUUUAAUUUUUUUUUGGCGUGGCCAUGCUUCCGAGUCUUGCUUUCCUGAGUUUUAGUUUGCAAUUUUUACUUUUUAUACUCAGAUGUUUUCAUUUACUUUCUGGGUUUGAAUUGCAUUUUUUUGAUUUGGUAUUUUGUGUAUUUCUUUUCUGUGGAGCGUCAUUUUUUAUGGGCAUGGAGGUAGGCAGCAGCAAGAAUUCUACGUUCUGGAGUGGCUGAUUGGAGUUAUGGACAGAAAUUGGGCAGAGCUAGAGGCCAUUGACUCUGCAUGACCCCACCAAUACUUUCACCAUAUCUUGGUCACCAUGUCGUCAAGUGUUUAGAAAUGGUUGGAGGCUUGAAUGGGUAGCUGUUGAAGUCAAAUAAUGAAUGUAAUAUUUAAAAUGUUAGGAAUCUUGAAUGGGCUGCUGAAUGGAACAUUUAAUAUUUAAAAUUGAAGAAAACGUUGCACUUGCUGAAACCAGUAUUUGUAAACAGAUUGGUUGUUUAAUGCCAAAUUUUUAUUUGGAAGGGGUUGCAUUGGCCCCCUUCCCAAGACUUUGGGGAAUGGUUAUUGGCCAUGACCAUUCUUUUAUGACCA
This is a long non-coding RNA of Cryptomeria japonica (Japanese cedar), 966 nucleotides long. RefSeq lists it as uncharacterized. The record is from RefSeq and is a predicted model, not a curated record. NCBI's taxonomy places the organism in Eukaryota, Viridiplantae, Streptophyta, Pinopsida, Cupressales, Cupressaceae. The transcript is spliced from 3 exons.